AUUGAACGCUGGCGGCAUGCCUUACACAUGCAAGUCGAACGGUAACGGGCCUUCGGGUGCCGACGAGUGGCGAACGGGUGCGUAAUACAUCCGAACGUGCCCGAUCCUGGUGGAUAACGAGUCGAAAGCUUUGCUAAUACCGCAUACGAUCUACGGUUUAAAGCCGGGGACCGCAAGGCCUUGCGCGGACUGUGCGUCCGAUGGCAGAUUAGGUAGUUGGUUGGUUAAAAGCUUACCAAGCCGACGCUAUGUAGCUGGUCUGAGAGGAUGAUCAGCCACACUGGAACUGAGACACGGCCCAGACUCCUACGGGAGGCAGCAGUGGGGAAUUUUGGACAAUGGGCGCAAGCCUGAUCCAGCCAUGCCGCGUGCAGGAUGAAGGCCUUCGGGUUGUAAACUGCUUUUGUAAGGAAAGAAAAGACUUCUUUUAAUACAGGAGGGUCAUGACGGUACCGUAAGAAUAAGCACCGGCUAACUACGUG
Molecule: ribosomal RNA, 482 nt
Filed under: uncultured bacterium
Lineage: Bacteria
Description: partial 16S ribosomal RNA
Rfam family: Bacterial small subunit ribosomal RNA
Source: RNAcentral